GUGACAUGAUGAAUCUGUUUAUCCAUUCUCUGAGUGGCAGCCAUCUUGUCUCUGGCCCUGCCCCUGUUCUGGGGGUGUGGCCUCUCCGCUGUGGUUCUGGAGUUGUCCGGUGUUCUACCGGAUGACGACGUGAAGCUAAACGGAGAGACUCGACGCAACUGUCGUAAAGAUGAAUGAACUGUUCUGAUCAC
Molecule: small nucleolar RNA, 191 nt
Organism: Solea solea (common sole)
Lineage: Eukaryota; Metazoa; Chordata; Actinopteri; Pleuronectiformes; Soleidae
Product: small nucleolar RNA SNORD17
Exons: 1
Source: RefSeq, a predicted model, not a curated record